RNAcentral lists this unclassified non-coding RNA (376 nucleotides) under uncultured fungus. RNAcentral's name for it is "partial contains 5.8S ribosomal RNA and internal transcribed spacer 2". The stretch from base 1 to 133 matches the Rfam family "5.8S ribosomal RNA", at positions 22 to 154 of the family's 154-position model. Lineage: Eukaryota; Fungi. The record is from RNAcentral.
UGGCUCUCGCACCGAUGAAGAACGCAGCGAAAUGCGAUAAGUAAUGUGAAUUGCAGAAUUCAGUGAAUCAUCGAAUCUUUGAACGCACCUUGCACCCUUUGGUAUUCCGAAGGGUACACCCGUUUGAGUGUCAUUGUAAUCUCACCCCUCGACUUUGCCGUCUUGGGUGUGGACUUGGGCUCUGUUGUGUGUCACGACUGGCCUCAAAUGCCUGAGUGCACCCUGCUGUUGUGGCGUCUUCAGUGUGAUAAGCAUCUUCACUGGAACAAGCUCCCUUGUGGACACGCUUGCUUUGUGGGCUCUGUGCUUGCGAACCGUCCGUUGCGCGGACAAGACUUGACAAUUUGACCUCAGAUCGGGUGGGACUACCCGCUGA